This 485-nucleotide ribosomal RNA is filed under the name uncultured Acidimicrobiales bacterium. RNAcentral's name for it is "partial 16S ribosomal RNA". The record is from RNAcentral. Lineage: Bacteria; Bacillati; Actinomycetota; Acidimicrobiia; Acidimicrobiales.
CACGUAGUUGGCCGGGGCUUCUUCUGCAGGUACCGUCACAAUCGUCCCUGCUGAAAGAGGUUUACAACCCGAAAGCCUUCAUCCCUCACGCGGCGUUGCUGCGUCAGGCUUUCGCCCAUUGCGCAAUAUUCCCCGCUGCUGCCUCCCGUAGGAGUCUGGGCCGUGUCUCAGUCCCAGUGUGGCUGACCGUCCUCUCAGACCAGCUACCCGUCGACGCCUUGGUGGGCCGUUACCCCACCAACAAGCUGAUAGGCCGCGAGGCCGUCCCGGAGCGGAAUCCAUUUCGUCGGAAGAACAUGCGAUCCUCCGACGACAUCCGGUAUUAGCUCUCCUUUCGGAGGGUUAUCCCGGUCUCCGGGGUGGGUUCCUCGCGUGUUACUCACCCGUUCGCCACUCGGUCUUCACCAGCAAGCUGGAUGGACCUCGUUCGACUUGCAUGCGUUAAGCACGCCGCCAGCGUUCGUCCUGAGCCAGGAUCAAACUCU